RNAcentral lists this ribosomal RNA (466 nucleotides) under uncultured bacterium. RNAcentral describes it as "partial 16S ribosomal RNA". It matches the Rfam family "Bacterial small subunit ribosomal RNA", at positions 28 to 507 of the family's 1533-position model. The record is from RNAcentral.
GAUGAACGCUGGCGGCGUGCUUAACACAUGCAAGUCGAACGGAAAGGCUCCUGCUUGCAGGGGUACUCGAGUGGCGAACGGGUGAGUAACACGUGGGUGAUCUGCCCUGCACUUCGGGAUAAGCCUGGGAAACUGGGUCUAAUACCGGAUAGGACGAUGGUUUGGAUGCCAUUGUGGAAAGUUUUUUCGGUGUGGGAUGAGCUCGCGGCCUAUCAGCUUGUUGGUGGGGUAAUGGCCUACCAAGGCGUCGACGGGUAGCCGGCCUGAGAGGGUGUACGGCCACAUUGGGACUGAGAUACGGCCCAGACUCCUACGGGAGGCAGCAGUGGGGAAUAUUGCACAAUGGGCGGAAGCCUGAUGCAGCGACGCCGCGUGGGGGAUGACGGCCUUCGGGUUGUAAACUCCUUUCGCUAGGGACGAAGCGCAAGUGACGGUACCUGGAGAAGAAGCACCGGCUAACUACGUG